GAUGAACGCUGGCGGCGUGCCUAAUACAUGCAAGUCGAGCGAGCAGACGAGGAGCUUGCUCCUCUGACUUUAGCGGCGGACGGGUGAGUAACACGUGGAUAACCUACCUAUAAGACUGGGAUAACUUCGGGAAACCGGAGCUAAUACCGGAUAAUAUAUUGAACCGCAUGGUUCAAUAGUGAAAGACGGUUUUGCUGUCACUUAUAGAUGGAUCCGCGCCGCAUUAGCUAGUUGGUAAGGUAACGGCUUACCAAGGCAACGAUGCGUAGCCGACCUGAGAGGGUGAUAGGCCACACGGGAACUGAGACACGGUCCAGACUCCUACGGGAGGAAGCAGUAGGGAAUCUUCCGCAAUGGGCGAAAGCAUGACGGAGCAACGCCGCGUGAGUGAUGAAGGUCUUCGGAUCGUAAAACUCUGUUAUUAGGGAAGAACAAAUGUGUAAGUAACUAUGCACGUCUUGACGGUACCUAAUCAGAAAGCAACGGCUAACUACGUG
This 497-nucleotide ribosomal RNA is filed under the name uncultured bacterium. RNAcentral's name for it is "partial 16S ribosomal RNA". It matches the Rfam family "Bacterial small subunit ribosomal RNA", at positions 28 to 507 of the family's 1533-position model. The record is from RNAcentral.